AAAUUUUGUUCGAAAGCCAUUUAUGCUUUUAUCCUCAAUUAAAAUAAAUAAUACUGAAGAAAAUAAAACUAAAAGAAAAGAAAUAAUCAGACCAGAUUUUGAGCUUUUGAGAAUGAAAUCAAAAUUAUUGGCAAAUUUGAAAAUAAUAAAAUGCUUUGUUGAGCUAACUGAUCCCCUAUUUGACAACCAUUAUUUUAAUGACCUGUUUGAGCCCCAAUUUUUUGUGGAAUGUAUUUUGAUAUAGUAAAUUAAUGGAAAAUGUAUAGUUAAAAAUAAGGAAAAAUUUUAAGUUCAC
Molecule: long non-coding RNA, 295 nt
Filed under: Olea europaea (common olive)
Lineage: Eukaryota; Viridiplantae; Streptophyta; Magnoliopsida; Lamiales; Oleaceae
Description: long non-coding RNA (OEUR_LNC001755)
Source: RNAcentral